This 513-nucleotide ribosomal RNA is filed under the name uncultured bacterium. Its description in RNAcentral is "partial 16S ribosomal RNA". It matches the Rfam family "Bacterial small subunit ribosomal RNA", at positions 28 to 523 of the family's 1533-position model. The record is from RNAcentral.
GAUGAACGCUGGCGGCGUGCCUAAUACAUGCAAGUCGAGCGAACAGACGAGGAGCUUGCUCCUCUGACGUUAGCGGCGGACGGGCGAGUAACACGUGGAUAACCUACCUAUAAGACUGGGAUAACUUCGGGAAACCGGAGCUAAUACCGGAUAACAUGUUGAACCGCAUGGUUCAACAGUGAAAGACGGUCUUGCUGUCACUUAUAGAUGGAUCCGCGCCGCAUUAGCUAGUUGGUAAGGUAACGGCUUACCAAGGCAACGAUGCGUAGCCGACCUAAGAGGGUGAUCGGCCACACUGGAACUGGGACACGGUCCAGACUCCUACGGGAGGCAGCUGUAGGGAAUCUUCCGCAAUGGGCGAAAGCCUGACGGAGCAACGCCGCGUGAGUGAAGAAGGUCUUCGGAUCGUAAAACUCUGUUAUUAGGGAAGAACAAAUGUGUAAGUAACUAUGCACGUCUUGACGGUACCUAAUCAGAAAGCCACGGCUAACUACGUGCCAGCAGCCGCCGUAA